UUAAAUUAAUGAGUGCAACUAUGUCAUAUCCAUUUGAGCUAGUGAACACUAACCGUGAAAGUGCACGCGUAAGCUGACAGUUGAAAUUUUUUGCACAUUUAUACAUGAAAGGUGAUCCUUGUUGGCAUUUCCUGAGUCACAAUUAAUCCUUUGAACUUAAGUUAGGUCAAGGUACUUUGUUAUUUUGCUGUGUGACAUCUAAACUUAAAGCUCGAGAUCUCUGACCUAAUAAGGUUUGAAAUCAUGGAAACAGCUUGGUGAGAGCAUGGCGAAUUAAGCGAAAGGCAAAGCGUGACUGGGUAAGAGUCAAGACUAUGGAGAAAGUGGGGCACGUGUUACAGGAGAAUCUACUACUAGGAUUAUAGUCUGCAAAUGACAAUACGGAAUCAUAGCAAGAUAGGGGAGGAGAAUGCAGUACAAGGAGAGGGCAAUCAUUUAGAAGGAACAGACAAGGCAACUCAAGCUGAGCAUGCGGCCAACUACUGUGAAUUGGUUGACCUUACAACUAAAGGAUAAUAAGAGACUAAAUGAAGACUUUGAGGCUAGACUAAGUUCUGAGCAAGUCAUUAAGGAGGCUAGUGCACAAGAGUAUAUGGCACAUUAUGGUGACCUUGAGGCACAUUCCCUAUACCUAAUGAGAAGGAAAUGAGGACAUCCAGGCAAAAUUCUUCCACGGGUGCAAUUGGUUCAAGGAGGAUCCCGUUUAAUGGUGCAGGCACCUUUAGUAUACAGCCUUCAUAGAUCCCAUUCAAACCCCUAGGACUCAAGUGGAAUGGACAACCUUGUGACAAGCUCUCAUCUAUUAGCAAAAUGAGAAAAGAGAAUUAGAAAGACAAAAAGCCAAGUCAAGGAGGGUUGAUAUUUAGAUUGUCUUACAUUAUAUGUUUUGAUUUUACAAUACUCAUGUUGAAUUGAUCAUAACUUUUAUCUUGUGUACUUAGGUUGUGUAUUUUGUAACACCCAUGCUGUGUAUUUAGAUUGUCUUGCAUUACAUGAUGGGUUCA
This is a long non-coding RNA of Prosopis cineraria, 1004 nucleotides long. RefSeq lists it as uncharacterized. NCBI's taxonomy places the organism in Eukaryota, Viridiplantae, Streptophyta, Magnoliopsida, Fabales, Fabaceae. The transcript is spliced from 3 exons. The record is from RefSeq and is a predicted model, not a curated record.